CAUAGCGACUAUCGUGGCAUAUCAAUAAGCGGAGGAAAAGAAACUAACAAGGAUUCCCCUAGUAACGGCGAGUGAAGCGGGAAGAGCUCAAAUUUGAAAUCUUAAAGGGUUUCCCUUUACGAAUUGUAGUUUAAAGAAGUGUUUUCUGUUGGAGUUUCGGUAAAAGUUCUUUGGAAUAGGACACCAUAGAGGGUGAGAAUCCCGUAUUUGACCGUUACUUUCCAGCUGUGUGAUACACUUUCAAAGAGUCGGAUUGUUUGGGAAUGCAGUCCAAGAUGGGUGGUAAAUUUCAUCUAAAGCUAAAUAUUGGCGAGAGACCGAUAGCGAACAAGUACCGUGAGGGAAAGAUGAAAAGAACUUUGAAAAGAGAGUUAAACAGUACGUGAAAUUGUCAAAAGGGAAGCGUUUGACACCAGUGUUGUUUUCUCGAAAAUCAAUUAAAAAAGGCCGGAUUUUGUGUUGUAUUGACCUUAAAAGCUUUCUACACUCUUUUCUUGUCUUUUUUAAUGCACUUUUCGUUUAACAAGUCAACAUCAGUUUCUUUUGUUGUAAAAGGGUCAUUGGAAGGUGGCUUUCUUUUCGGAGAAAGUGUUUAUAGCCUUUGAUCUCUGCAACCGGAGAGACUGAGGUCUGCAGCGUAGACUCUUCGGGGUUAAAUACAUUUGUGCUAAGCUAUAGCUUUUUAUAGACAACUUGUUGACUAUGUUUAGUCUUGUAGCUUACUCGCUUAUGCUAUUUUACCUACGCUUAGGAUGUUGAUAGUCACAGCGUGUAC
RNAcentral lists this ribosomal RNA (775 nucleotides) under uncultured Neocallimastigales. RNAcentral's name for it is "partial large subunit ribosomal RNA". It matches the Rfam family "Eukaryotic large subunit ribosomal RNA", at positions 22 to 627 of the family's 3401-position model. The record is from RNAcentral. Lineage: Eukaryota; Fungi; Neocallimastigomycota; Neocallimastigomycetes; Neocallimastigales.